RNAcentral lists this non-coding RNA (27 nucleotides) under Cricetulus griseus (Chinese hamster). The record is from RNAcentral. Lineage: Eukaryota; Metazoa; Chordata; Mammalia; Rodentia; Cricetidae.
UGGUCAUUCUUCAGACUUCGGGCUAUG